GGGAGGAAUGUUCCCCUCCACCAAGGAUGGCUGGAAGAUGAGACUAGAGACAUGGGGAAUGUGAUCAAGCAGACUGCACCUGUGAAACAGCAUAGUCUAGGCACAUAGCACAGUGCCGAAUCUACUGGCAAUCCGGUGGAAAUGAGAAGAUGCGUAUUGAUCAUUGUAACAGGCCAGAUCCUAGAUCUGUUCGGUCAUCUGCUACAGAGAUUAGUACACUGCAGAUGUGUAAGAGGACAAAGAUACAUGAAGAUAAUGAUCUAAAAUUAAAGUUUAUAAAAAUAAGACAGUUGCAAUGGUACCUGCAUUGUAGUUUUAGUACAGUUUAAUGGGCAUAUGCCAAUGAGCACUGUGCC
Cygnus olor (mute swan) is the source of this 356-nucleotide long non-coding RNA. RefSeq lists it as uncharacterized. The transcript is spliced from 3 exons. The record is from RefSeq and is a predicted model, not a curated record. Lineage: Eukaryota; Metazoa; Chordata; Aves; Anseriformes; Anatidae.